AAACCAUUUUUAUAAGCUAGUAUGGGCGACAGAAAACCUCUUAGCGCAAUAGACAUAGUACUGCAAAGGAAAAAUGAAAUAGAAAUGAAAUAACCCAUAAAAACACAACAAAGCAAAGACUAAAACCUGUACCUUUUGCAUAAUGGUCUAGCAAGUCUAACCCUACAAAAAGAACUUUAGCGGGGAACCCCGAAACCAAACGAGCUACCCCAGGACAGCAAAUACGAGCGAACCCACCUCUGUAGCAAAAGAGCGGGAAGAUCCUAAGGUAGAGGCGAAAAACCUUACGAGCUUGGAUAUAGCUGGUUACUUGAGAAAGAAUUUAGUUCAACUAAAAGUAAUAUAAUCACCCAAAAGAAUAACUAAUACUUUUAUUAUAAUUAGCCGGGGUACAGCCCAGUUAAUAAAGGAAACAACCUACAUAAAUGAAUAAAGAUUAUAACAACAAGGGAAAAUAGCCCAGUAGGCCCAAAAGCAGCCACCAUAAAAGCGUCAAAGCUCAGCUUUUUUUAACCCACAAUUUCAACAAUAAAUCUCAACUCACCAAAACAAUCAAGUUAAUCUAUUUUUAGAAAUACUACUACUAGAAUAAGUAAUAAGGGGCUCCCUCUAUUAUAUACCUGUAACUCGGAACGAAAACAUCACCGAUAAUUAACGAAAACAACAUUAAUUUUUACUAGCACUACAAAUAAACUUAAAUCGUUAACCCAACACAGGAAUAUUUAAGAAAGACUCAAAGCCAGGAAAGGAACUCGGCAAAAUUAGAGCUUCGCCUGUUUACCAAAAACAUCGCCUCUUGAACAAAAAACAUAAGAGGUACUGCCUGCCCAGUGACAACCGUUCAACGGCCGCGGUAUCAUGACCGUGCAAAGGUAGCGUAAUCACUUGUCUUUUAAAUAAAGACCAGUAUGAAUGGCAAAACGAAAGCUCAACUGUCUCCCUAGGCCAGUCAAUGAAACUGAUCUCCCCGUGAAGAAGCGGGGGUAUUUAUACAAGACGAGAAGACCCUAUGGAGCUUUAAACCUGACUAACUUCACCAAAACAAUAUUUAAUAAGUGAUUUUUAUAUAAGGUUUUAGGUUGGGGCGACCACGGGGAAAAACCCAACCCCCGAGAUGAAUAUAAACCUAGAAAAACUACUCAAAGUAACAAUAAUCUUGACAUAAUUGACCCAAUAAUUGAUCAACGAACCAAGUUACCCUAGGGAUAACAGCGCAAUCCUCCCACAAAGUCCCUAUCGACGGGCGGGUUUACGACCUCGAUGUUGGAUCAGGACCCCCAAAUGGUGCAACCGCUACUAAAGGUUCGUUUGUUCAACGAUUAAAGUCCUACGUGAUCUGAGUUCAGACCGGAGUAAUCCAGGUCAGUUUCUAUCUGUAAACAGAUUUUUCUAGUACGAAAGGACCGAAAAAACAAGGCCAAUAAAUAAUUUAAGCCUUACCACUAACCUCUGAAUACAAAUAAAGAGGAAAACCAAGGACAAAAAA
Molecule: ribosomal RNA, 1486 nt
Filed under: Gyrinophilus palleucus (Tennessee cave salamander)
Lineage: Eukaryota; Metazoa; Chordata; Amphibia; Caudata; Plethodontidae
Description: 16S ribosomal RNA
Rfam family: Bacterial large subunit ribosomal RNA
Source: RNAcentral